GAGGACCGUAUUCAUGGAAGAGGAUCGAACAGAAGACUACUGAGUUCUUAUGAGAAAAAUGGCUCUUAAGAAAUUGAAGGUGAUACCAAAGGAAAGUUACUUAUUACUUUUGGACUUUGAUGAUGAGGACGAUGAUAUAAAAGUUUCAGAGGAGGCUCUUUCGGAAGAGAUGAAGUAGACAGUAUGUUGGAUAAAUCUGAAGAUGACAUUUAUAAGACGCUUCACAUAAAGAGAAAAUGGAUGGAAACUUAUGUCAAAGAAUCUUUCAAAGGCAGGAACCAGAAAUUAGAAAGAUUUUGCAAAAUGAACGAACGAGAGAGGAAGAACAUCAACAACAAAUUUUGUGAGCAGUAUAUAACUACAUUUCAGAAGUCUUAUAUGGAUGUACAGAAAUUCAAUGAGGAAAAAGAAAAAUCAGUGAAUAGUUGUCAAAAAGAACAACAAGCAUUGAAACUGUCCAAAUGUAGUCAGAACCAGACCCUGGAAGCAGGUAAAGAAAUGCAUGAGAAGUCCAUGGAGCUGCAUCAUUGGACUCAAACUGAAUGGUCCAUGUGUUGCCACUGAUGUGAGCCAUU
RNAcentral lists this long non-coding RNA (575 nucleotides) under Mus musculus (house mouse). RNAcentral describes it as "predicted gene, 21679". Lineage: Eukaryota; Metazoa; Chordata; Mammalia; Rodentia; Muridae. The record is from RNAcentral.